ACAGCCCAGCAUCUCUGACUUUUCUGUUCGCCGGGCUUCCGUCUGGCUCCUGAUGCCUGCGUUUUCAGGGGUGUUUUGCUUCCAUUAAGAUUCUGAGGACACCAGCGGCCUGGAGGCUGGCUCGGUUUUCUAGAAGACCCAUGGCUGGGGCUCCCUCUACGCCCCUGCGGCCGCCCUGUGGAACAAGAUGGGAAGGAAGGAUCAGCAGGAAAUGUACCAGGAAAGGCAACAAGAAAUCAAAGCAUCUACUCAAAAGGAUGAGAGGUGCCACAUGGCACAUGGAUAUCUUUAGCGUGGACUGGACUUAGUUUCUUGGGACACAAUCAACUAUCAGGUGUCCACUGACUUUGUGCACGAAACUGCCUACCAAUGCAAGAAGAUGCCCCCUGCAUGCCUGAAGCGUUGAGAACAUGAGGCAGGAAAGGAGACAUCCAUGCACAAGAAACCUGUGACUAUAACAUUUUUAAUAUGUAAUUGCUCUGUGAGAUUUUAUUUUUGGAAAUGCUAUGCCACCAGCCAAGAGAUGCUCAGUGUGGCUUGGGAAGGUUCUUCUCCUCAGAUUUCCAGCUGGACAGACAAUGAGGAGGUCAUGCUGCAUGGUCACACUGUGUGAAGCCCAAGGGCAGGGUCUGUGCCAAGGGCACAUGGUGGAUGCCGAGUGAACACACGAACAUGUGGGCGAGCAAAGAGCUGAGUGCUAAGAGGUAUUCCAGCUCCAAUGAUUGUGAACACAGGGAUCUCCCACCUGGAAGGAAAACUCCACACAGGUACAGGAGGAUCUGAAAAAAUGGACAACACAAAAAUGUGCGUCUGUAAGCUGGAGAGAGGGGCUGUGGGGCAGGAGAGAUUUCGGAUGGAGAUGUUACGAGGCUUCGCUUCUGCCCUGGAGGCCUUGAGUGAAAGGAAGCGCUCUCUGCUGCCUUCUGACCACUUCCUCAGGACCCGCUUCACCCUGUGGAGCUGCAGCUGGAAGUGAAUCAACCCAGGGAGUGCUAGGAAAACGAAGCUGCUUUAGUGACCACAGCCAUCCCAACACAACAGUGGGUCAGCAUUUUGACUACGAGGGCCAGGAAAGGCUGGUGGGGAUUUGAGGGAAUAUGAAGACAGCAGGGACAUCCCACCCACCGAGGCGCUCCUUAAGGAACUGUGCCAUGGUCACAGGUAUGUCUAUGCACCCUCCAUGGUGCUUUGCAUGAACUGGUGCUCAGGAAUGUAGAAAUAGAAUUGGACAGAAAUAAAUGCUGUUUUUUCCUGUCCAGGUAUUUACAACAUGGUGGGGCAGUGGUCAGGAGACAAGACAGGUUUGCUGUAGUCUUGGGAGAAUCCUCUCACCGCUGGAGCUCAGGCCCACAUCAGUGAAAUAAAGGGCAUAGCAGGAUGAUCGCCACAUUAUUCAAGCCAUGCGAUUUGAGAGCCGUGUAAAGGCUUGGGGUUGGUACGACAGUAUUGCAGCUGGUUUGCAAACAAGGCUCAGAAGUGAGAGCCUCAUUUGUAGAUUGACACAUUGGUCCUGAACUCAGGGCUCUUCACUCACUGGACUGAGGUUGACCUCUUCCUGUUGUCCGAAGGCCCAGGCAGCAAACAUAUUCCAGACUCAGAGGCUGUGUGCCAAAGGUUGCCCCUCAUGAGACCCUGAGGAUGGAAGGCUCUCUAGGUAUCCAGCUGCACAGCCCUCCCCAACAUCUGCUAGACACCCAAAGGAAGCAGUGGGUGA
This is a long non-coding RNA of Lynx canadensis (Canada lynx), 1714 nucleotides long. RefSeq lists it as uncharacterized. Lineage: Eukaryota; Metazoa; Chordata; Mammalia; Carnivora; Felidae. The record is from RefSeq and is a predicted model, not a curated record. The transcript is spliced from 4 exons.